GCCAAGAAAAGUUCUUUCAGUCAUUGCUUCUAUUUUCUGUUUCUUUUUCUUUCUUUCUUUGUUUGUUCCAUCGUGGCUUGCGGUUCCUUCUUUUCAUCUUGCUUUUUCAUUAUUUAUUUAUUUAUUUUAUUUCUCAAUCUGUUCUUGAUUCUUGGGUUAUUGUGCUUCCAAUUUCAUUAUUGCGUUUGGUGGAUCAACUCCUGCUGUGCUGUUUCAAAUUUUCGAGUAUUCGUAAGUAAAUGCUUUAAUCAUUCUUUUGGUACAUGGAUUAAUCUCGUGAGACUUUUGUUAUUAGGUGUUAAUCAAGUAGGUCACAACUCCACUUCUGGGAUAAAGUUGUGCUGGGCUUGUCCUGUCUGUUUGGGUUCUUGAAGCCUUGUGGUAGAUUUUGUAUCAGAAAAUACCAGGUGUGUUAUGAAAAUAUGAGAAAUCAGCAAUUGGUGAAAAGUCAAAAUUGAAAUAGUCAUACUACACAGCCUAUGUGACAAGCGCGUGUGUGUCACACGGUCUAGGCUGUAUGGGCUACACAGGCUUGUGGGUCCAUUUUUUGAAAUUUUCAUUUUUUCUUGUUUUGUUUUGUGAACCCUAUUUAGCCUCUCUGUAGGGUCCGUACUGCUUAAUUAAGACCUGAAAACAAGGGAUCGGUGAAUAUGUUUCUGUGUUGAAGUGUUUAGGUUAUUUGUAAUAUGUAUAUUUGCAUGUUAUGAUAUUAGUAGUUUUGAUGGUAUGUUUUGGUUCGCUAUGCUUGUAUAAGCUUGUAUAAUGUAUGAUGAUGUUAAAUUGCAUCUC
This is a long non-coding RNA of Gossypium raimondii (Peruvian cotton), 789 nucleotides long. RefSeq lists it as uncharacterized. The record is from RefSeq and is a predicted model, not a curated record. The transcript is spliced from 2 exons. NCBI's taxonomy places the organism in Eukaryota, Viridiplantae, Streptophyta, Magnoliopsida, Malvales, Malvaceae.